UUACCUUCCUUGUUAUAGGCUCCUUAAGCUUGGUGACAGCCCUUUCUACUUCUGUUGCCUGAGUCAUUGAACAUUUAAUUGGACUGACUACUAUGAUUCCCCAAAUGUGGGAAACUCAGUUGCAUAAUUUAUGGUAGUGGGGGACUUCCAUCAUGUAGUUCCCUG
Molecule: small nuclear RNA, 165 nt
Organism: Protopterus annectens (West African lungfish)
Lineage: Eukaryota; Metazoa; Chordata; Ceratodontiformes; Protopteridae
Product: U1 spliceosomal RNA
Exons: 1
Source: RefSeq, a predicted model, not a curated record